UCCUUAUCCUUGCCAGCACUUGUAUUG
RNAcentral lists this non-coding RNA (27 nucleotides) under Homo sapiens (human). The record is from RNAcentral. Lineage: Eukaryota; Metazoa; Chordata; Mammalia; Primates; Hominidae.